Molecule: ribosomal RNA, 253 nt
Filed under: uncultured bacterium
Lineage: Bacteria
Description: partial 16S ribosomal RNA
Rfam family: Bacterial small subunit ribosomal RNA
Source: RNAcentral
GACGAACCGUGCGAACGUUGUUCGGAAUCACUGGGCUUAAAGGGCGCGUAGGCGGGCAAGCAAGUCUGGGGUGAAAUCUUUCGGCCCAACCGGAAAAGGGCCUCGGAAACUGCUUGUCUGGAGGAAGGUAGGGGUGUGUGGAACUUCCGGUGGAGCGGUGAAAUGCGUAGAGAUCGGAAGGAACGCCGGUGGCGAAAGCGACGCACUGGACCUUUUCUGACGCUGAGGCGCGAAAGCCAGGGGAGCAAACGGG